This 1266-nucleotide ribosomal RNA is filed under the name Candidatus Doudnaibacteriota bacterium. Its description in RNAcentral is "Candidatus Doudnabacteria bacterium partial 23S ribosomal RNA". It matches the Rfam family "Bacterial large subunit ribosomal RNA", at positions 2261 to 2925 of the family's 2925-position model. The record is from RNAcentral. Lineage: Bacteria; Candidatus Doudnaibacteriota.
GUGGGUAGUUUAACUGGGGCGGUUGCCUCCUAAAUGGUAACGGAGGCGUUUAUUAAGGUAGGCUAGGCGCGGAUGGAAAUCGCGCUGGUAGUGCAAACGCAUAAGCCUGCUUGACUGCAAGAGUGGCAACUCGCGCAGGUACGAAAGUAGAAGUUAGUGAUCCGAUGCGUUCGAGUGGAAGACGCAAAGCCCAACGGAUAAAAGUUACUCUAGGGAUAACAGGCUGAUCCUCUCCAAUAGUCCACAUAGACGAGGGGGUUUGGCACCUUAACAUAAUCGGGGUGCAUGAGGAGCGAUCCUUUUCCUAAGUCUUCGUCCGUCUUCCCGACUUUAAAGUCGGGAGAAAAAAUCGAAGCAAAUAAAUUCGGCUUAUAACGGUGAACCCGUAAUUACAUGAGUUGGAACUAUGUUUACUUUUUGUAGACAACAUGUAAACGGCAAUACCGUGGGAAGUUGUAGCAAGUAAUAAGUAAUUAGUAACAAGUAAUAAGAAUUGCAGAAAUGCAUUUUCUAAUUACUCCUUACUCCUUACUAUUUACUACUAUUAACCCCGUAACGACUGACCCGAAAGGGGAGAUCUGAAUUUGUGAUUUAGUACUGAGUGAUUAGUACUUAGUAAUACAUUAAUGUAUUUACUAAUAACUAAGCACUAGGCACUAAUGACUAAUUUAGAUAACACGCCGACUCUUAUCGCAAAAAAGCAAGACCAUGGUCCCUGACCUGACGGUCGCUGAUAAGAUGAAGAUAUAGUCUGCCCCAUACGAAAGUAUGGAAUAAUGUACGAUGUCGGCUCAUCACGUCCUGGGGGUGAAGAAGCUCCCAAGGGUUAGGCUGUUCGCCUAUUAAAGUGGUACGCGAGCUGGGUUCAAAACGUCGUGAGACAGUUUGGUCCUUAUCUGCUGUGGGUGUACGAAAUUUGAGUGGGCACAUCCCUAGUACGAGAGGACCGGGAUGUAUGGACCUCUGGUGUACCCGUUGUUCUUUCAAGAGCAUCGCGGGGUAGCUAGGUCCAGUUUAGAUAAGCGCUGAAAGCAUAUAAGCGCGAAGCUGUCCACAAGACUAGAUUUCGUUGUGUAGCAAUACACGAAAGGUUCGCGGAAGACGACCGCGUAUUAUAAGUUAGUGCAUAGUGCAAAGGAAUUGGUGCUUAGUAGCAAUACUAGGUACUAUGAACUAAGUACUAAGUACUCGCUUUUAUAGGCUGCAGGUGUACGCACAGUAAUGUGUUCAGCCGAGCAGUACUAAUCAACCGAAAGUUUAAUGUAU